Molecule: ribosomal RNA, 486 nt
Filed under: uncultured bacterium
Lineage: Bacteria
Description: bacterial SSU rRNA
Rfam family: Bacterial small subunit ribosomal RNA
Source: RNAcentral
AUUGAACGCUGGCGGAAUGCUUUACACAUGCAAGUCGAACGGCAGCACGGGGCAAUCUGGUGGCGAGUGGCGAACGGGUGAGUAAUACAUCGGAACGUGCCCAAUCGUGGGGGAUAACGUAGCGAAAGUUACGCUAAUACCGCAUACGAUCUACGGAUGAAAGCGGGGGAUCGCAAGACCUCGCGCGAAUGGAGCGGCCGAUGUCAGAUUAGGUAGUUGGUGGGGUAAAGGCUCACCAAGCCAACGAUCUGUAGCUGGUCUGAGAGGACGACCAGCCACACUGGAACUGAGACACGGUCCAGACUCCUACGGGAGGCAGCAGUGGGGAAUUUUGGACAAUGGGCGCAAGCCUGAUCCAGCCAUUCCGCGUGCAGGAUGAAGGCCUUCGGGUUGUAAACCUUUAGCUUUGGGGAAGAAACAAAUGACGGUACCAAAGGGGCAGCCACGGCUAACUACGUGCCAGCAGCCGCGGUAAGAGUCACGUCG